This 1404-nucleotide ribosomal RNA is filed under the name metagenome. RNAcentral's name for it is "bacterial LSU rRNA". It matches the Rfam family "Bacterial large subunit ribosomal RNA", at positions 1541 to 2925 of the family's 2925-position model. The record is from RNAcentral.
UCGGGCCUCAUAAACUCUGAGACGUGAUACCGAGCCGCUUCAGGCGAAGUCAUUGAUCCUAUGCUGCCUUGAAAAGCCCAGCAGCGAGUUGACAUGGUGCCCGUACCCCAAACCAACACAGGUGGACAGGUAGAGCAUACCAAGGCGAGUGGGAUAACUAUGGUUAAGGAACUCGGCAAAUUGCCUCCGUAACUUCGGGAGAAGGAGGACCCCAGUAGCGUGAUGAGACUUGCUCCCUGAGCGUGAAGGGGUGGCACAAAAUUGAGGGAAGCGACUGUUUACCAAAAACACAGCAGCGUGCUAAGCCGUAAGGCGCUGUAUACGCUGUGACUCCUGCCCGGUGCUGGAAGGUUACGGGGAUGGGUUAGUCCUUCGGGACGAAGCUCUGAACCUAAGCCCCAGUAAACGGCGGCCGUAACUAUAACGGUCCUAAGGUAGCGAAAUUCCUUGUCGGGUAAGUUCCGACCUGCACGAAUGGAGUAACGACUUCCCUACUGUCUCAACCAUAGACCCAGCGAAAUUGAAGUACGAGUAAAGAUGCUCGUUAGCUGCAGAAGGACGGAAAGACCCCGUGGACCUUUACUAUAACUUGAUGUUGUGUUUUGUCAUAUGUUGUGUAGGAUAGGUGGGAGACUUGGAAGCAUGGACGCUAGUCUGUGUGGAGUCAUCGUUGAAAUACCACCCUGCAUAUGGUGAGGCUCUAACCUAGACCCGUUAUCCGGGUUGGGGACAGCGUCAGGCGGGUAGUUUAACUGGGGCGGUUGCCUCCUAAAGAGUAACGGAGGCGCCCAAAGGUUCCCUCAGCCUGGUUGGCAAUCAGGCGUUGAGUGCAAUGGCAAAAGGGAGCUUGACUGCGAGACCUACAAGUCGAGCAGGAGCGAAAGCUGGGCAUAGUGAUCCGGCGGUUGCGUGUGGAAGCGCCGUCGCUCAACGGAUAAAAGGUACCCCGGGGAUAACAGGCUAAUCUUGCCCAAGCGUCCAUAGCGACGGCAAGGUUUGGCACCUCGAUGUCGGCUCAUCGCAUCCUGGGGCUGAAGCAGGUCCCAAGGGUUGGGCUGUUCGCCCAUUAAAGCGGUACGCGAGCUGGGUUCAGAACGUCGUGAGACGGUUCGGUCCCUAUCCUCUGCAGCCGGAGGUGAAUUGAGGAAAGCUGUCCCUAGUACGAGAGGACCGGGACGGACGCAGCUCUCGUGUGCCAGUUGUCCUGCCAAGGGCAUGGCUGGUUAGCGACCUGCGGAAAGGAUAACCGCUGAAAGCAUCUAAGCGGGAAGCCUCUUCCAAGAUGAAUUCACCCACAGGGUUAACCUGGUAAGGCCCGUGGUAGACCACCACGUUGAUAGGCCGGAAGUGUAAGCGUGGCAACACGUUCAGCUGACCGGUACUAAUCGGCCGAGGGCUUGAGUC